UACAGAGACUGCAAGCGUUAUUCGGAUUCACUGGGCGUAAAGGGCGCGCAGGCGGCCAAGUGUGUGAGGCGUGAAAGCCUGGGGCUUAACCCCAGAAUUGCACCUCAAACUAUUUGGCUAGAGCAUUGGAGAGGGUAGCAGAAUUCAUGGUGUAGCAGUGAAAUGCGUAGAUAUCAUGAGGAAUACCAGAGGCGAAGGCGGCUACCUGGACAAUUGCUGACGCUCAGGCACGAAAGCGUGGGGAGCAAAAGGG
RNAcentral lists this ribosomal RNA (253 nucleotides) under uncultured bacterium. RNAcentral describes it as "partial 16S ribosomal RNA". It matches the Rfam family "Bacterial small subunit ribosomal RNA", at positions 524 to 776 of the family's 1533-position model. The record is from RNAcentral.